AAAACUACUCAAAAGCUGCCUACUGCAGGUUUGAACUCUUGACCCUUCAUUUAAGGGUGAACCCACCAGACGACCUCUACAAGAUCAUCUUGUGUCAAGUAAGUUCCACUUAUAGCUAUACAUAUUUUACAUAAUUUAACCUAUAUCAAAUAUUAAAAUUUUUUAACGAAGUGAAUUCAUUUAAAUCCUUUUGACCAUUUUCCUACAUCGCCCCCAUUACCAGUAACCCAAAUUAGAUUUGGGCUAAGCAGACAAAUCGGAUCUGAGAUUUUAAGUCAAAAUAAGUUCAC
Molecule: long non-coding RNA, 290 nt
Filed under: Nicotiana benthamiana
Lineage: Eukaryota; Viridiplantae; Streptophyta; Magnoliopsida; Solanales; Solanaceae
Description: long non-coding RNA (NBEN_LNC005846)
Source: RNAcentral